Molecule: small nucleolar RNA, 102 nt
Organism: Callithrix jacchus (white-tufted-ear marmoset)
Lineage: Eukaryota; Metazoa; Chordata; Mammalia; Primates; Cebidae
Source: Ensembl
AUCCUUUUGCAAUUUGUGUGUGAUGAAUGGGUGUUUGCGCUCAUGUGUGAGAUGUGCUGGCCUCCAACCUUAUUACCACAUUGGCACAUUACCCAUCUGAUG